RNAcentral lists this long non-coding RNA (2404 nucleotides) under Equus caballus (horse). RNAcentral describes it as "lncRNA (ENSECAG00000046771.1)". The record is from RNAcentral. Lineage: Eukaryota; Metazoa; Chordata; Mammalia; Perissodactyla; Equidae.
CUCCUCCCAUGAUACAGCAUCACAUGAUGGUAAUAUGUUGUUUUUAUGCUACCUUCCUCCAGGGAUCCUAAAGCUUUGGGACACAUUUGCUUUGCAUUCCUAAGAGACUAUGAGAAGUGAAGUUCACUGAGAAGGAGUUUAUACGUGGGACGCCUACCACAGCAUGGCUGCCAAGCAGUGCCAUGUCCGCACCCGGGAUCCGAACCAGCAAACCCCGGGCCGCCAAGAAGCGGAACGUGCGAACUUAACCGCUGCGCCACCGGGCCGGCCCCUAUUUAUCCUUCAUUUUUGAAGGGUAAUUUCACAGGGGAGGAAGACAUUUCCUCUACCCGCUGUGGGUUCUUCUGGCUGGAGAACAAAUUAAAUUCACAUGACACAGAAUAACAGGAGAAAAUUAAACAAAGCUUUACAACAUGUGUACAUGGGAGAGGCUCAGGCAAGCUGAGCAACUUGCCAAAAUGGCUGAAGCCACCACCUUAAAUAUCAUCUUCAGCCCUCCUGUACAUAGAUGUAUAUUCUAGUUGUGAGUGCCUCUGGUUGUGCUAUGUGGGACGCCGCCUCAGCAUGGCCUGAUGAGCAGUGCCAUGUCUGCACCCAGGAUCCAAACCGGCAAAACCCUGGACCGCUGAAGCGGAGCGUGCAAACUUAUCCACUCGGCCACAGGGCUGGACCCCGUAUUUGGUAUUUUUAAACAGAAUUUAUGAUCUAGUGAAUGGAAAUGUCUAAAUAACAACAAAAGUGAGUGAAGGAGGAAAAAAAUAUAAUUCAGGCUACUUUGAGAACUACCAUGAGCUUCCCGCAAAGGAGUAUGAUAUAGGAGAAAACCAGAAUUAACAAAGAUAAAGAGUUCGCUUCUUGCUUUGCCAUAACUCAAACUCAGGUAACACAUUGCUUUGCUGUAGCUUUUGAAGACACUGUUUCAUUGAAUAGAUAAUUAUCAUGAUUAUAGGUAUACAAAUAGAUAUUAAAGUGUUUAACUGUAGUCUUAUUUUCUUAGAGUUCUAAAUAAUUCCUCAUAACCUUAUUGUUUUAAUAUUUUCCAUGAAAAAAGUUCAUUAAGCCUAGGGUCAAUAGACGUCAUUCUAAUCCUUCCCAAUGUUUUGAUUUAGUAAAAUUAAUAUUAUAAUGAGACUGUACUAGUGGUAAUUUCGAUUUGCCUGGCUUAAAAUGUUGGGAAACCCAUCCUGUCUCACGGUAACUCUGAGCUGCCUUAGAUGCUAUUCUUGACUUUGAAUUUCAUCAGUUCUAUUUAUGGAUUGUAUUUAUGUGUUUUUUGGUUGUUUCUUAACACAUUUGAGUGUAUCUACUUUCUCUUCUUCCAAUAUGUAAUCAAUACUCUCAGUAUGCUGUUCUUUUCAAUGAUUAAAAAGUAGAUUUAUCUCUAAUCCAGUGGUCAUAACUACGCAUCCAACAAAGUUCACUCUAAGACCAAAAUGCAGUCAUUAGAUUUUCCUCUUUAGUCCUGAGUACUUGCUAGAAGCCACCACUACCUGUGGCUUCUUUGUGAACUAAGGCAGGUAAGAACAGUUAUCUUCCUUUCCUGUCAUAAUGUUAGUCGUUUCUGAGGCGCUGCCCUGAGGAAUGCAGAGGGAGGAGUGGAGAAGAAAUCUGCUGUCCAGACCUUCUCCAGUUUGAGUAUGGGUGAUAUUCAUAUACUAAGGUUGUACUAAGCCUUUUGAGAUGGCUGUGCCAGGAGUAGGAACUCGCGCAUCCUGUCCUGAGUCUUGUGUUGCUUCAGAACAUGACUCAGCAAUCAUCAGAGUGGGAGCUGAGGGUAGAAUGGCCCAUGGCAGGCCAUCCCUGAAACAUCAUAAGAGAGUCUUUCACCAGAGUGUUGACAUAUCUUCUAACUGACAAAGAUGAGUGGAAAAUAGGCUAUCCUUGAAAUCGUAGGCCUGGGACACAACUUCUUUUGCCAAAGUAUUUGGCCCUAAAUCCAUAACUUGACAUAACUUAACUUAAGCCAUUCGCUAAUGACAUAAAAAGAAAUUUGUAUCAUUCCUGGGGAAGAGCGCUAGUGAUAAAGAAGACAAAAUCAAUCAGCGAUGGAAAGGUAUCAUCGUUAUGGAAGCUGUAUGAAGCUCAGAGAUCAAAUGCCAAUUAACUAAAACUCAAUUUAAAAGCAAUUCAGCUGUGAGGGUGGACACAUGUCAUUAUGCAUUUGUCAAAACCCAUAGAAGGUACAUCACAAGGAGGGAACCCCAAUGUAAACUAUGGACUUUAGUUAAUAAUAGUGUAUCAGUAUUGGCUCACCAAUUGUAACAAACAUACCACACUAGUCAUGCAAGAUGCUAAUAACAGAGGAAACUGUGUGGUUAGGGGACAGAGGAGGUGAGGGGGUCUAUGGGAACUCUUUGUGCUUUCUGCUCAAUUUUUCUGUAAACUUGAAAGUGUUCUAAAAAAU